Molecule: small RNA, 323 nt
Filed under: Shewanella putrefaciens
Lineage: Bacteria; Pseudomonadati; Pseudomonadota; Gammaproteobacteria; Alteromonadales; Shewanellaceae
Source: RNAcentral
AAGGAUUAAGCAUGAACUCGAAACAGGAUGUGUCGAGAUAAGGAUAAAGUAUAAGGGUGAACAGCUUGUACUAAUCUAUGGAAAAUAAAUUUUGCAGGAUGCAAUAGGAAUACGUCAUAGGAAGUGACAGGCUCUGUAAAAAGGAUUUACAGGUCAAGGGACUGAGUGUUAUCUCACGUAAGUUUGAUACACAGGGACGAAAAGGGAUUACAGGGACGAUGCAGGACGCAAGCAGACGCAUGGAUGGUGCAGGGAGCACAAAUCGAGCAGGACGGCUUACAAAGGAUAAAUGGGGCGCACUUUAGUUGCGCCCUUUUCUUUGG